GACGAACCGUGCGAACGUUGUUCGGAAUCACUGGGCGUAAAGGGUGCGUAGGCGGGUCUUUAAGUCAGGGGUGAAAUCCUGGAGCUCAACUCCAGAACUGCCUUUGAUACUGAAGAUCUUGAGUUCGGGAGAGGUGAGUGGAACUGCGAGUGUAGAGGUGAAAUUCGUAGAUAUUCGCAAGAACACCAGUGGCGAAGGCGGCUCACUGGCCCGAUACUGACGCUGAUGCACGAAAGCGUGGGGAGCAAACAGG
This 253-nucleotide ribosomal RNA is filed under the name uncultured bacterium. Its description in RNAcentral is "partial 16S ribosomal RNA". It matches the Rfam family "Bacterial small subunit ribosomal RNA", at positions 524 to 776 of the family's 1533-position model. The record is from RNAcentral.